RNAcentral lists this ribosomal RNA (509 nucleotides) under uncultured Glomus. RNAcentral describes it as "SSU rRNA". It matches the Rfam family "Eukaryotic small subunit ribosomal RNA", at positions 569 to 1081 of the family's 1831-position model. The record is from RNAcentral. Lineage: Eukaryota; Fungi; Glomeromycota; Glomeromycetes; Glomerales; Glomeraceae.
AGCAGCCGCGGUAAUUCCAGCUCCAAUAGCGUAUAUUAAAGUUGCUGCAGUUAAAAAGCUCGUAGUUGAAUUUCGGGACCAUCAUGUCGGUCGUGCCUCGGUACGUACUGGCAUUGUUGGUUUCUCCCUUCUGACGAACCAUGAUGUCAUUUAUUUGGUGUUGUGGGGAAUCAGGACUGUUACUUUGAAAAAAUUAGAGUGUUUAAAGCAGGCUCACGCUUGAAUACAUUAGCAUGGAAUAAUGAAAUAGGACGUUUGAUUCUAUUUUGUUGGUUUCUAGGAUCGACGUAAUGAUUAAUAGGGAUAGUUGGGGGCAUUAGUAUUCAAUUGUCAGAGGUGAAAUUCUUGGAUUUAUUGAAGACUAACUACUGCGAAAGCAUUUGCCAAGGAUGUUUUCAUUAAUCAAGAACGAAAGUUAGGGGAUCGAAGACGAUCAGAUACCGUCGUAGUCUUAACCAUAAACUAUGCCGACUAGGGAUCGGAUGAUGUUAAUUUUUAAUGACUCAUUC